Molecule: ribosomal RNA, 468 nt
Filed under: uncultured bacterium
Lineage: Bacteria
Description: partial 16S ribosomal RNA
Rfam family: Bacterial small subunit ribosomal RNA
Source: RNAcentral
GACGAACGCUGGCGGCGUGCUUAACACAUGCAAGUCGAACGGAAAGGCCCUGCUUUUGUGGGGUGCUCGAUUGGCGAAGGGGUGAGUAACACGUGAGUAACCUGCCCUUGACUUUGGGAUAACUUCAGGAAACUGGGGCUAAUACCGGAUAGGAGCUCCUGCUGCAUGGUGGGGGUUGGAAAGUUUCGGCGGUUGGGGAUGGACUCGCGGCUUAUCAGCUUGUUGGUGGGGUAGUGGCUUACCAAGGCUUUGACGGGUAGCCGGCCUGAGAGGGUGACCGGCCACAUGGGGACUGAGAUACGGCCCAGACUCCUACGGGAGGCAGCAGUGGGGAAUAUGGCACAAUGGGCGGAAGCCUGAUGCAGCAACGCCGCGUGCGGGAUGACGGGCUUCGGGUUGUAAACCGAUUUCGCCUGUGACGAAGCGUGAGUGACGGUAAUGGGUAAAGAAGCAACGGCUAACUACGUG